This 107-nucleotide small nuclear RNA is filed under the name Microtus ochrogaster (prairie vole). Lineage: Eukaryota; Metazoa; Chordata; Mammalia; Rodentia; Cricetidae. The record is from RNAcentral.
GUGUUAUCAUCUCGGCACCACAUAUAUAAAAAGCUGGGAUGAUACAAUGAUUAGCGUGGGUCCUGUGCAAGGAUGGCGUGCAAAUUCAUGAGGUGUUCCCUAUAUGU